RNAcentral lists this long non-coding RNA (7989 nucleotides) under Marmota monax (woodchuck). The record is from RNAcentral. Lineage: Eukaryota; Metazoa; Chordata; Mammalia; Rodentia; Sciuridae.
UGUGUUUUUUUUUUUUUUAUAGUUUUAGUGAUAAUGUUUUCAUUAUUGAUAAUAUUGAUUAAUGUGAUUCUGUAAAAAUAUUAAUAACUUUCUACAUGCAUUAAUUCUAUUAAAAUAGUAUACUAUUGACCCUUAGUAUCCAUUAGGAAUUGGAUCCAGGACCCCUGUGAAUACCAAAAUCUGCAGAUGCUCAAUUAUUUUAUAUAAAAUAGUACAGUAUCUUGCAUAUAAUCUGUGCAUAUUCCCCUGUAUACUUUAAAUCAUCUCUAUAUUACUUAAAAUACCUAAUACAGUGUAUAUGUAAAUAGUUUUAUUGUCUAGGGAAUGACAAGAGACGAAGAGAAAAAUUCAUGCAGAUAUAUUAUUUCCCCAAAAUAUUUUUAAUCCAUGGUUGGUUGAAUCCAUAGAUGCAGACCCCACAGACAAGGAAUGCUGGCUUUAGUUGCAAUUUAAUAAUUGUGUUAAAUGGCAUCAAUAGUUUCCUGAGGGCUAAGGGUUUGGCUUGUAGGCAUGGACCUGGGUUUGAACCCUGGUACUGGGGGAAAAAAAAAUUCUUUCAAAAGAGUUUAAGCAGUGCUGGGCAUAGUGGCACAUCUAUAAUCCCAGUAGUUUGGGAGGCUGGAGGAUCGUGGGUUCAAAGUCAGCCUCAUUAAUUUAGUGAGGCCCUGUCUCUAAAUAAAACAUUAAAAACGGAUGGAGAUGUGGCUCAGUAGUUAAGCACCCCUGAGUUCAAUCCCUGGUACCAAUAAAUAAAUAAAGCUUUUAGGGAGCAUCAGAGAAAUUUUUUUUGAUGGACAUAAGAUAGGCCAAAUAUUGUUUUUUCCCUUGAUUAAAAAUUAUGUUAGCUAUUUGCUUAUCUCACAAAUAAAGUUUAUUGGACUAGGGAUAUAGCUCAGGGGUAGAAGUCUUGCUUGGCAUACUCAACAGCCCGGUAUUCAGUCCCCAGUAUCAAAUACACACACACACACACACACACACACACACCCCUAAAAUAAGUUUUAGUAAUGCUUCUAAAUAUUUCAUUAUUAAUUUGAAGGGGGAAAAACAUCAAAAAUGUAAACUAAAUUCCUGAACAUUUAAGUUUCAAAAUGCACUAAUCAUAACUUGAAAGGUAGGAACAACUUUAUAGAUGCUAUCAGUCUAUUCAUUGGGUAGCUAAGGAAACAAAUUAAUUAGCAGCAAAUGACAGAUUAGAAUUCAAAUCCAUGUCUUUAACUUUAUAAUAAACGACUGUUUUUUCUUGUUUUUACUAAAAUGUUUUCUUAAAUCCUUAGCUGAAGAUUUUUGACGAGUUGAAAAUGUGAAGAUCUUCUGUACAUUUUUAUAUCCAAUAUUUAACUUCAGAGUAAGACCAAAUUGUAAUUUAGUUAUUAAUUUAUAACUGUGUAAAUAAGUCAAAAUACUAUAAUUAAGAUUUAAAGGAAAAUACUCUUUACCUUAUAUUUCUGUUUGUUAUAUUUGAAGUCAUUUAAAAAUGAUGUUUAGUAUAAUUCAAGUAACUAUGCAAUGUAUCAUAAUUCUGUGUUUUUUCUUCAAGGAACAUUUUACCCUUUCCAUUUUAACCAGACAAUAAAUAUACAAUAAAAGCAGUUCUUAGUGAAUUACUUCCAAUAAUAAUUAUCUAUUUUUAAAAUCCUAAAAGUAUUUCAGGUUUUGAGGAAUUGUAGUCAAUGAGUAAAAUCCUUCUGUUUUCAUUCUAAUUUGAAGGCAAAGUCUUUAAGACAAAACUCUCAUCUUUAAGACAAAUUUUGCCUUUUUUUCCUUCUGUUAUUAUAGUUAUAAGUGUUUUUAAGCCACUGAGUAGCAUUACUAAUAAUAUGCACAUGUUAGCCAUACUUGGAUUUACAAGAUUAUACUUUAUCUGUAAGUUCAUGUAUAUAUUUGUUUAGAAGUUGACAUUUUAAAUCAAAAAUUUCUUUUCCUUUUGCAGGUGGAUAUUACUAUCCCUUCCUCAUGGAAAAUGUUUUAUUCUAAGUGUUGUUUCUCAUUGAGUAUUAUCAAAAAGGAAAAAAAUUAUUGUCCUAAAUUUUUGAGAUAGAUUUGGCAAUAGUAAGUAUUUAGAUAUAUCACAUAUCUGAGAGAAGAAGUAAGAGAUCAUCAGUAUAUUCCUAUCUACUAAAAAGUUUUAUUUUCUUACUUUUAUCAAAGGAUUUUUUUUUUAUAACUUGUUACUAAUAGCUUGAACCCUUUUAAUGCAGAACUAACUCCCUCACCAGCACUAAGGUUCUCACCUUGUUUAUUUUAUAAAAUAUAAUCCAGAUAUUUCUAUUCUUUCUCUUUUUUUCCCUUUUCCUCUUUUUACUUUUUUACAUUGUUCAUAAUCAAGCCCAGUGCCUCAUACUAGGCAAACACACUACCACUCAGCUACAAUCCAGCCCUCUAAUAUUUUUUGAGGCUGUAUGCAAUGAAAAAUAUUUUGAUAAAAUGAAUGUUUAAAUCUUUUAAGUUAUGAUUACUGUGUAAGAUGACUACUUAGUUGCUGGUUUUUAUUUUUAUUGUGCUGAAAUUAAAUGCAACAUUUAUAAUUUUUACUUGGGUUUAUUUAUUUAUUAUUAAUACAUGGAAAUCAUGCAGAAACUUCAUGAAUAUUGCACUUAGGUUAGCACAUUGAUAACUUCAGAUCCUCCCUAAUUCUGUAGGACUUUGAAUAUUGUGUUCAUAUGAUAGGACUUUUAUAUUUUGAAAAGAUAUAAACUUCCCAAAGAAUCUUAUUAUUUAUAGCAAUCUUAUACAUAGCAUCAGAUUUUUGAGAUAUUCUGCUGAAAAUCUGAUUUCUUUUUCUUUCUGUAUGCAUGUAUUUUAUGGGGAUCAACCCAGAACCUUUGGCAUGCUAAACAAGUAUUGAAUCACUAAACUACACCUCCAGACCAAAACAAGAAAAAAUUUUAAGUUAUUUUUAUACUAAAUGUUCCUUGACCUGAUUAGCUUACUACUAAAUGUAUGCUAUGUAUCUUUUGUAACUUACAAGUUUCUUUUAUAUACUUAGCAUGGAUGUUCUUAGCAAUUUGGGAGGCAACUCAGUGAGACCUGUCUCAAAAUAAAAUACAAAAUAGGGCUGGGGAUGUGGCUCAGUGGUCAAGUGCUUGCCUGGCACAUGUGAGGCACUGGGUUCAAUCCUCAGCACCAUAUAGAAAUAAAUAAAGGUAUUGUGUCCAUCUACAACUAAAAACUUUUUUUAUUAAAAAAAAAAAAAAACCAAUCUCUUUAGAAAGAGAUGGAAACUGUAUCUCAUCCCAUAGUUUAUUUCCAAAUGAUAUUUGAGAAUGCUUAUACUUGAUCAGUUUAAAAUACAACAUUAUAGGGCUGGGGCUCAGCCGUAGAGCGUUCGCCUCGCACAUGCAAGGCCUGGGUUCGAUCCUCAGCACCACAUAUAAAUAAAUAAAGUUUUAAAAAAUACAACAUUAGAACUGAGCAUGGUAGCACAUGCCUAUAAUCCCAGUGGCAAGAAGAUCUUCAGUUCAAAGCCAGCUUCAGUAACUUAGUAAGGCCCUAAGCAAUUUAGCAGUACCCUGCCUCAAAAUAAAGAGAUUUUUAAAAGGGGGCUGGGGAUGUGACUCCAAUCUCUGGUACCAAAAAUAAAAUAAAAUAAAAUUCCACAUUAGUAUGAAACAAUGAAGUUUGUCUAGAUUUUGCUGUUCCAUAGUGUAAAUAGAGAAAGUUUAAGUGCAUCAUUUCUUUUUUCAUUUCCCCACAUUUUUUUAUUUAUAGUUGUACAUACUGAUGGAAUUUGUUGUUACAUAUUUGUACAUGCACACAAUAUCAAGUACAUCAUUUCUUAAAGAGAAAUUGUAAUUUUUAACUUAGUCUUCAGAGGUUUAUGUCAGUUGUUAUGUUUCCAUGUAUUUUCUGGAAGUGUCAGAAUGCUAAUAUUGGAAAACAACAGUAAAAAUAGUUAAGUAGGUUUGGAAUACUGACAUAGCUGUACAAAUUUAUUCUACUAUUUGGGUGCUAAAGAUGAUCACAAAACAAAACAAAUUUCAGCCCUUAGAAAACUUAAAAUCUUGAGGAUAGCUGAUAGUUAAUGGAAUAGAAAAUUUGUAGCACUUUAUGUGAUUUGUCAGACAGUUAUAAGUUCUAUGAAGAAAAUAAAGCAGGGAAGAUGGGAAUGAUGCAAUAAAGGUGUUUGGAAAUCUGGAGAAGUCUGUUUUAAAUAAUAUGUAAGAAGAUAUCUCCCAGAGAUAACAUUUAAACAAUAUAAAAUGAUCUCCAGGAAAGACCAUUCAAGCUGAUGAAAUAACAAGCAACAAAGGUCUUGAAGCUGAUGAAUUUUUUGUGGGUAAAGAAACAGCAAGAAAGUAUUAUGUGAUUAUGAGCCAAGGUAGGGAAUAGUAGCUAAUAGCAUCAAAAAGUUUAUAAAAGUCAGAUCUUACAUCUGUUCAAGAUUCUAACUUAAAAGCCAGGUGUGGUGGACAAUGCCUGUAAUCCCAGCAGCUCAGGUGCUAAGGCAGGAGGAUUGUGAGUACAAAAGCCAGCCUCAGAAACUCAGCAAGGCCCAAAGCAACACAGCAAGACCCUGUCUCUAAAUAAAAUACAAAAAAAAAAAGGUUGGGGAUGUGGCUCAGUUGAGCACUCCUGGGUUCAAUCCCUAGUACCAUUUAAUCUUAAAAUUCAGUUUUUCAUAAUUCUUUCGAGACAACUUUGAUAGUUGUAUGUGCCUCUGCCUAUUGAAUUUUUGCAGAUUGGACAGAACAUUCUUAUGAAUAUGAUUCAAGAUUGUAACCUACAUCUGAGACCAUUUAGAGUACAAACAAAAUGUUUAAGUGCAUGGUUAAUAGGUAUGUGUAUGGUUAUCAGGAUUUAAUGAAUUGUGCUUUGAUGACACUGAAAUUAUUUUCCAUUUCAUCAGUUUAUCUGGAGUCAAAGCUAAUGGAUCCAAGGGACAUUAAAUUUGUCCAUAUUUGUCAUCUACCCAAACAAAUCACAGUCAUCUUUGAUUCAUCCAGCCUUAGAAUUGCUACUGCCAUUAAGUACUUUAUUAUUUCUCACUUAUUUUCUUCAACACCUUUUCAGCUGAGAAAUUCUUUGCCUCUAAUUAUUUCAGUCUAACAAUUUCAUCAUCGUUAGUAUAUACCACUAGUUUAACCUGCUAAAACACCUCUUCCUAUAUUAUAAAAUUCAAACUUCUUAGCUUGGUAUCUCAUGAUCUUACCUCAGUGUUUUCUAAAUUAACUUUUUCUUCAAAUGAACUAAUUCUAAUCCAUUCAUUUUUCUUCUGUGCCUUUUUUUUAAUGCCAUUAUACUACGUUAGUUUUUCCCCAGCUUAUUCUGGUACCUUUUUUAAAUGUUAAAUCUCUCAUGUAUGUCAAGUAUUUCUUGACUUUUCACAAUCUGGCAUUAGCCAUUCUUCUCAUAGUAUGCACAAUUUAUGUCUAUAGUUUUAGUUUUGUGUUUUUUGAGACAUUAUAGCACUGUUGCCCCGGUAGUCCUUGAAAUUGAGAUCCUCCUGCCUCAGCCUCCAAGUAGCUGGGAUUACCAGCAUAUACCAUUGCAUCCAGCUUUAUAUUUGUAACUUAACCUUUUUCUGUUCCUUAUUGUACCUAAGGACUAUAACACUUCUGUCAUUAAUUGUGCCUCGUUUAUUUGUACAUGUUAACCUUUUAAAUGUACUAACAAUAUGAAUAAAAAUUUAAGAAACAAAAUGAAGACAAGCAGAUGGACUAAGACAACUUCAAAACACCUGCCUAAAUAUUAGGUCACAAAGUUAAUAUACUGAUUUAUUUUGACAAGUGAUAAAGUUGAUAUAGUUUUUUCUCUUUGUGUGUUAGUUAUGUGUGAGCCGGCUAUAAUAUGUUUAUGAUCUUAGCUUAAUAAAUAUGUUCUUGUAAAAAGUAUUCCAUGUAUUUUUAUAGUGUUCUUAAAAGAUUGGGAAAAUGUAUUUAAGCGCCCAGUAAUAAAAGGCUGCUAAAAUAACAUGCUGAAUAGAAUACUGUAUAUCUGUUUAAAAUAAUGUAGGUGAAUAUUUAAUGAGCUAAAAAGUUGUUCACAGAGGAUAAAGGUUAUCAUAUAAUGUGAACAGACUCACUAAAAUAAAAUAUAUGCUACAUUUAUCACUGGUUCCUCGGGUAAGAGAUAAAUUUAUUGGGGUGGAAGGAUAUUAAUGUUUGAUUAUAAAUAAGCACAUAUGGUUUUUGUGAUGUAGAAAGUUUUUUUGUUUUUGCUUUUUGUUUUUCCCAAAGGGAGAGAGAAUUCCUUAAAAAUAAAAAGUUAUUUAAAGGACCUUACCACCAGACAAUUACUUCCUUUGGAUAUCUAUAAAAGGGAAUAAUACUAUGCUCAGGAACUUUAGAACUUAAAAUAGAGGAACUGAACAGAUAAUGUUAAAAUCAGAUAAUUUGAAAUCAACUUCAUCUAGGAGGCAUGGUGGCAUACACCAGUAACCCCAGUGACUUGGGGGAGGCUAAGGUAGGAGGAUUGCAAGUUUGAUGCCAGCUUCAACAACUUAGACCCUGUAUCAAAAUAAAUACAAAAAAGGCUGAGGAUGUGGCACAGUGGUUAACCACCCCUGUGUUCUCAGUCCUCAAAGAAAUAUCAAAAAUAUCCCCUUCUCCUCCAGCCCCUAAAACUUCUAAGGUAAGUAUUAAAAAAAUGUGUAGGUAAACACAUUUUAAUUCUGAAACCGUGUUAAUAAACUAUAGAGAAUAUAAAUCUAUUCCUGUGCCAGGGAUAAGAAAAAGCGUGUACAAAAAAAUUUGGAAAUAUGCUUCUGGUUCAAAUUUUUCUGCAAAUUUGAAUAAAAUACCACUAACUGUUCCAUCAUAUUAUAAUAUAAAAGUGUUUCAAAUUAGAAGUAAUAUCUUGUUUUUGUUUUGUAACAGUACUGGGAAUUGAACCCCAAGGGUGCUUUACUACUUGUUAUAAGCACUUGUUAUUUUAUAUUUUUUUUUAUAUUUUGAGACAAGAUCUUGCCAUGUUGCUGAGACUGGCCUUGAACUUACGAUUCUCCUUCCUUGGCCUCCUGAGCCACUGGGAUUACAGAUGUGCACCACUGUGUGCAACUAAAAUUAUUUUUUUCUUACUAUUUUAAUAAAUGUGAGGAUAUGAAAAGUACAUUUUAUAAGAACGCGCAUAUCAAUCCCAAGAGUACCUUCCCAUGAUUUGAAAAGCGUUUUGAGACAAGGAAGGUCACUCGCUGAAAGGUUUUAAAUAGGAAGAGUGGGAGAAGUUAAUGAAAUGUACUGCUCAGAAUUUGUUGCAAGAAAUCUAACGCCUGUAUAUUUUGAGUUUCUUUUGUACCUCCAUAAUCAUCAGUUUUCAUCAAAAUGUUCUAGAAUUGUGGGAUUCUCAUUUGGUUUUUCAAAAAACAUUUCUCAGUGGUAAUGACAAUCAAUUAUGUAUAUUUCAACUUUAAAAUGGUUGAGUCAGGCAUGGUGUCACACACCUGUAAUCCCAGCUACUGAAGGCCAAAACAGAAGGAUCAACAACUUAUACCCUGUCUAAACAUUUGAAGGCUGAGGAUGUACCUCACGGGUAAAGCUCCCCUGGAUCCAUCCCCAGUACUUUGGGAGCAGGGGAGGGAAGGUUAUAAACUGUAAAUUAAUAAAUGGUGUAGUGAAUGUUUGACUUAUUAAUAGUGAACAUGUUUUUCUCACAAUAUGACCCAUUUAGAAUGUAAGUAAAAAUUGUGUCAACCCAUUUUUCUCACUUAAUAUUUUGUAAUUUAAAAACUCUUAACUUGAAAAACAACUGAGUUAAUAAACUUAUUCAGAAGUCUAAAAGUCUGACUAUGGAAAGAGGGGUGUUUAUCAAAAAACAAACCUGUAAUGCAGAUUUCAGUCAGAUCCUCUGUUAUUCUACUUCUGUAUGCAUUUUAGUGGGCAUUGCAUCCUUUAAUUUAAAAGAAAAAAAAUAAAGUUUAGUGGUCCAUAAUAGUUACAACACUGUCAUCAAUAUCAUUUUUAAAAAUAUUUUUAUUUAUAUUUUUAGUUGUAAAUGGACACAAUACCUCUAUUUUUUAAGAGAAUUUUUUUAAUAUUUAUUUCUUAGUUCUCA